RNAcentral lists this long non-coding RNA (201 nucleotides) under Mytilus galloprovincialis (Mediterranean mussel). Lineage: Eukaryota; Metazoa; Mollusca; Bivalvia; Mytilida; Mytilidae. The record is from RNAcentral.
AAAUUAAGCCAAGGACGUAUAACUAACAAGGAUUCGUGUCUCGCGGUAUCUCGUUAAAAUAUCGCAUAUCGUGAGACUUGUAUUUAUAUACAAGUAAUAGCUUUUCUAAAAAGCUUGUCGUAUUUUAGCUGAUUAUAUUGACAAGGACGUAUACGUCCUUGAUUGAGAUCAGUGUUUUCGAAGUUCAAAAAUCAAAGAAAC